RNAcentral lists this ribosomal RNA (490 nucleotides) under uncultured bacterium. RNAcentral's name for it is "partial 16S ribosomal RNA". It matches the Rfam family "Bacterial small subunit ribosomal RNA", at positions 30 to 507 of the family's 1533-position model. The record is from RNAcentral.
AUUGAACGCUGGCGGCAGGCCUAACACAUGCAAGUCGAACGGUAACAGGAAACAGCUUGCUGUUUCGCUGACGAGUGGCGGACGGGUGAGUAAUGUCUGGGAAACUGCCUGAUGGAGGGGGAUAACUACUGGAAACGGUAGCUAAUACCGCAUAACGUCGCAAGACCGAAGAGGGGGACCUUCGGGCCUCUUGCCAUCGGAUGUGCCCAGAUGGGAUUAGCUAGUAGGUGGGGUAACGGCUCACCUAGGCGACGAUCCCUAGCUGGUCUGAGAGGAUGACCAGCCACACUGGAACUGAGACACGGUCCAGACUCCUACGGGAGGCAGCAGCGGGGAAUAUUGCACAAUGGGCGCAAGCCUGAUGCAGCCAUGCCGCGUGUAUGAAGAAGGCCUUCGGGUUGUAAAGUACUUUCAGCGGGGAGGAAGGGAGUAAAGUUAAUACCUUUACUCAUUGACGUUACCCGCAGAAGAAGCACCGGCUAACUCCGUG